GUCGUCCGGUGUUUUCCUCCCAUUGCGCCGGGCGAUGUUCCCCUCUGAAGGUUAUGACCUUCACCUUGGCCGGGCCGUUUUCACGCCCGGCCAUUUUU
This is a small RNA of 98 nucleotides. It matches the Rfam family "Alphaproteobacterial ar15".